GGGAAUUGGAGGUUAUCAUCACUUUGGUUACGUCGCGUCGUGUCGUGGUCGGUAUCGUUUGUCGGUUAGGCGAUUUGUCGGUUCAGUUUGUAUGCCGUUGUAGGUAAGGUAGAUAUACUUAGUGGCUAGCAAAUCAAAGCUAGAAGCUUACAUCAGAAACACAAACAACUUUAGGUCGAUACAUACCUACCUUAAGCUUGUUGUGGAUUUCUUAGAAUCGUAGAUGCAUAAUGCAGGUAACUUGUCCGCGGGAAACCCAAGUUUUUAUUCAACUGUUGGCCGUCAUUUUAUCUACCUUGUUUAAUAUCGAGAAGAAAAUUAUGAAUUUAAAUUAUUUCAAAAGAAAUAAAAAAAUAAUCUUAUCAAACCAG
Eupeodes corollae is the source of this 371-nucleotide long non-coding RNA. RefSeq lists it as uncharacterized. The transcript has 2 exons. NCBI's taxonomy places the organism in Eukaryota, Metazoa, Arthropoda, Insecta, Diptera, Syrphidae. The record is from RefSeq and is a predicted model, not a curated record.